ACGGGAGGCAGCAGUGGGGAAUAUUGCACAAUGGGGGAAACCCUGAUGCAGCGACGCCGCGUGGAGGAAGAAGGUUUUCGGAUUGUAAACUCCUGUCUUCGGGGACGAUAAUGACGGUACCCGAGGAGGAAGCCACGGCUAACUACGUGCCAGCAGCCGCGGUAAAACGUAGGUGGCAAGCGUUGUCCGGAAUUACUGGGUGUAAAGGGAGCGCAGGCGGGUCGGCAAGUUGGAGGUGAAAGCUGUGGGCUCAACUCACAAACUGCCUUCAAAACUGCCGGUCUUGAGUGGUGUAGAGGUAGGCGGAAUUCCCGGUGUAGCGGUGGAAUGCGUAGAUAUCGGGAGGAACACCAGUGGCGAAGGCGGCCUACUGGGCACUAACUGACGCUGAGGCUCGAAAGCAUGGGUAGCAAACAGGAUUAGAUACCCUGGUA
RNAcentral lists this ribosomal RNA (434 nucleotides) under uncultured bacterium. RNAcentral describes it as "bacterial SSU rRNA". It matches the Rfam family "Bacterial small subunit ribosomal RNA", at positions 341 to 792 of the family's 1533-position model. The record is from RNAcentral.